CGAUAACCACGAAUGACCCUGACCGCGA
Molecule: small RNA, 28 nt
Filed under: Bombyx mori (domestic silkworm)
Lineage: Eukaryota; Metazoa; Arthropoda; Insecta; Lepidoptera; Bombycidae
Description: ovarian small RNA-14242
Source: RNAcentral